Molecule: ribosomal RNA, 500 nt
Filed under: uncultured bacterium
Lineage: Bacteria
Description: partial 16S ribosomal RNA
Rfam family: Bacterial small subunit ribosomal RNA
Source: RNAcentral
AUUGAACGCUGGCGGCAUGCCUUACACAUGCAAGUCGAACGGCAGCACGGGUGCUUGCACCUGGUGGCGAGAGGCGAACGGGUGAGUAAUAUAUCGGAACGUACCUUAUUGUGGGGGAUAACGCAGCGAAAGCUGUGCUAAUACCGCAUAAUCCCUAAGGGGGAAAGCGGGGGACCGUAAGGCCUCGCGCAAUUAGAGCGGCCGAUACCUGAUUAGCUAGUUGGUGAGGUAAAGGAUAACCAAGGCAACGAUCAGUAGCUGGUCUGAGAGGACGAUCAGCCACACUGGGACUGAGACACGGCCAGACUCCUACGGGAGGCAGCAGUGGGGAAUUUUGGACAAUGGGGGCAACCCUGAUCCAGCAAUGCCGCGUGAGUGAAGAAGGCCUUCGGGUUGUAAAGCUCUUUUGUCAGGGAAGAAACAGCAGCUCUAACACAGUUUGCGAAUGACGGUACCUGAAGAAUAAGCACCGGCUAACUACGUGCCAGCCGCCGCCGUAA